GCAAGUAUCCGCGCUCCAGUGUAGAAGCCCUAGGUACCCUGAUCCAGGUCGAUAGGAGCGGGCAUCAGGCACACCACAACCGUAGCCCAAGACGCCUUGCAAUUGCCACGCCCCCACGGGUCCUCAGCAGUAAUUAAUAUUAAGCCAUGAGCGAAAACUUGACUUAGUCAUAGCAAUUUAGGGUCGGUAAAUCCUGUGCCAGCCACCGCGGUCAGACAGGAGACCCAAAUCAACUUUACUAACGGCGUAAAGUGUGGUAACAUGCUAUCCAAGUAACUAAGAUUAAAAAGCAACUGAGCUGUCAUAAGCCAAAGAUGCUCAUAAGGCCACUAUUCAAAGAAAAUCUUAGACUAACGAUUAAUUGAAAUCCACGAAAGCCAGGGCCCAAACUGGGAUUAGAUACCCCACUAUGCCUGGCCCUAAAUCUUGAUGCUCGAUCUUACCGGAGCAUCCGCCUGAGAACUACGAGCGCAAACGCUUAAAACUCUAAGGACUUGGCGGUGUCCCAAACCCACCUAGAGGAGCCUGUUCUGUAAUCGAUGAUCCACGAUCUACCUGACCAUUCCUUGCCAAGAUCAGCCUAUAUACCGCCGUCGCCAGCCCACCCAACCUGAAGGCCCAACAGUGGACGCAAUAGCCCUAACACGCUAAUAAGACAGGUCAAGGUAUAGCCUAUGGAAUGGGAGCAAUGGGCUACAUUUUCUAAGAUAGAACAUUACGGCAAAGGGAUAUGAAACUGUCCCUGGAAGGAGGAUUUAGCAGUAAAGAGGGAGAAUCGAGCCCUCUUUAAGCCGGCUCUGGGGCACGUACAUACCGCCCGUCACCCUCCUCAAAAGCGA
RNAcentral lists this ribosomal RNA (839 nucleotides) under Pycnonotus finlaysoni (stripe-throated bulbul). RNAcentral describes it as "partial 12S ribosomal RNA". It matches the Rfam family "Bacterial small subunit ribosomal RNA", at positions 173 to 1415 of the family's 1533-position model. Lineage: Eukaryota; Metazoa; Chordata; Aves; Passeriformes; Pycnonotidae. The record is from RNAcentral.